ACGGGAGGCAGCAGUGGGGAAUAUUGCACACUGGGGAAACCCUGAUCCAGCGACGCCGCGUGAGUGAAGAAGUAUUUCGGUAUGUAAAGCUCUAUCAGCAAGGAAGAAAAUGACGGUACUUGACUAAGAAGCCCCGGCUAACUACGUGCCAGCAGCCGCGGUAAUACGUAGGGGGCAAGCGUUAUCCGGAUUUACUGGGUAUAAAGGGAGCGUAGACGGCAAAGCAAGUCUGAAGUGAAAUCCCGGGGCUCAGCCCUGGAACUGCUUUGGAAACUGUUUAGCUAGAGUGCAGGAGAGGUAAGUGGAAUUCCUAGUGUAGCGGUGAAAUGCGUAGAUAUUAGGAGGAACACCAGUGGCGAAGGCGGCUUACUGGACUGUAACUGACGUUGAGGCUCGAAAGCGUGGGGAGCAAACAGGAUUAGAUACCCUGGUA
Molecule: ribosomal RNA, 433 nt
Filed under: uncultured Clostridiales Family XIV bacterium
Lineage: Bacteria; Bacillati; Bacillota; Clostridia; Eubacteriales; Clostridiales Family XIV. Incertae Sedis
Description: bacterial SSU rRNA
Rfam family: Bacterial small subunit ribosomal RNA
Source: RNAcentral